CACCUCUUCUUCGCAUCUCUUUCAGAUGUAUAUAAACUUGAGAAUCAAUAGAAAUCAGGACUAAUCGUCCAUUACUUUCAUUCAAUCUCGUUUUACUCUAACACGUUAUCAGCAUGCUCUUCAUCUGAACGAUUUCGAGAUCGAAAAGAACACAAGGUAAGAAGAAAACUAGUCGACGACAUCCGAGCAAGCCAAUGGCUUCGAGGGAUAGCUGCC
RNAcentral lists this long non-coding RNA (216 nucleotides) under Hordeum vulgare. RNAcentral's name for it is "long non-coding RNA (HVUL_LNC000739)". The record is from RNAcentral. Lineage: Eukaryota; Viridiplantae; Streptophyta; Magnoliopsida; Poales; Poaceae.